GCAGUUGACGGCAACAUAAAUGUUUACAUUUGAUGGCGAGUAGCGAACGGGUGAGUAAUACAUUGGAACAUACAUUAUAGUGGGGGAUAGCUUGACGAAAGUUAAAUUAAUACCGCAUAAUUAUAAUCUAUGGAUUAAAGCAGGGGAUUUAAAUAGUUUUUAACUAUUUAAACCUUGCGCUAUAAAAUUGGCCAAUGUCUGAUUAGCUAGUUGGUAAGUUAAAAGCCUACCAAGGCUACGAUCAGUAGCUGGUCUGAGAGGAUGAUCAGUCACACUGGGACUGAGAUACGGCCCAGACUCCUACGGGAGGCAGCAGUGGGGAAUUUUGGACAAUGAGCGCAAGCUUGAUCCAGCAAUAUCGCGUGUGCGAUGAAGGCCUAAGGGUCGUAAAGCACUUUUUUUUGAGAAUAAAUAAAUUUAACUAAUACUUAAAUAAAUGACUGUAUCAAAAGAAUAAGUACCGGCUAAUUACGUGCCAGCAGCCGCGGUAAUACGUAAGGUGCUAGCGUUAAUCGGAAUUAUUGGGCGUAAAGAGUACGUAGGUGGUUUAAAAAGACUUUUGUAAAAUCCCUGAGCUUAACUUAGGAAAUGCACAAGUUACUAUUAAACUAGAGUGUAAUAGAGGGGGGUAGAAUUUCAUAUGUAGCGGUGAAAUGCGUAGAUAUAUGAAGGAAUACCGAUUGCGAAGGCAACCCCCUGGGUUAUAACUGACACUGAUGUACGAAAGCGUGGGUAGCAAACAGGAUUAGAUACCCUGGUAGUCCACGCCCUAAACGAUGUCAACUAGUUGUUAGGUGAUAGCAUUUAGUAACGAAGCUAACGCGUUAAGUUGACCGCCUGGGGACUACGAUCGCAAGAUUAAAACUCAAAGGAAUUGACGGGGAUCAGCACAAGCGGUGGAUGAUGUGGAUUAAUUCGAUGCUACGCGAAAAACCUUACCUACUCUUGACAUGAUUAGAAUUUUAUUGAAAAAUAAAAGUGCUUGAAAAAGAACUAAUACACAGGUGCUGCAUGGCUGUCGUCAGCUCGUGUCGUGAGAUGUUGGGUUAAGUCCCGCAACGAGCGUAACCCCUAUUCUUAGUUGCUAAAUACUUUGUAUAGAACUUUAAGAAAACCGCUAGUAAUAAACUGGAGGAAGGUGGGGAUGACGUCAAGUCCUCAUGGCCCUUAUGAGUAGGGCUUCACACGUCAUACAAUGGUCGGCACAGAGAGUUGCAAAACCGUGAGGUUUAGCUAAUCUUUAAAACCGAUCUCAGUCCGGAUUGUACUCUGCAACUCGAGUACAUGAAGUAGGAAUCGCUAGUAAUCGCGGAUCAGCGUGCCGCGGUGAAUACGUUAACUGAUCUUGUACACACCGCCCGUCACACCAUGGAAGUGAGUUUUAUCAGAAGUUGUUAAUUUAACCCAAUGUGGU
This 1414-nucleotide ribosomal RNA is filed under the name beta proteobacterium endosymbiont of Pagaronia tredecimpunctata. Its description in RNAcentral is "partial 16S ribosomal RNA". It matches the Rfam family "Bacterial small subunit ribosomal RNA". Lineage: Bacteria; Pseudomonadati; Pseudomonadota; Betaproteobacteria. The record is from RNAcentral.